This 405-nucleotide ribosomal RNA is filed under the name uncultured bacterium. RNAcentral's name for it is "partial 16S ribosomal RNA". It matches the Rfam family "Bacterial small subunit ribosomal RNA", at positions 30 to 526 of the family's 1533-position model. The record is from RNAcentral.
AUUGAACGCUGGCGGCAGGCUUAACACAUGCAAGUCGAACGAGUGGCGGACGGGUGAGUAAUGCUUGGGAAUCUGGCUUUUGGAGGGGGAUAACGACGGGAAACUGUCGCUACUACCGCGUACCAUAGGAUGAGCCCAAGUGGGAUUAGGUGGUUGGUGGGGUAAUGGCCUACCAAGCCGACGAUCUCUAGCUGGUCUGAGAGGAUGACCAGCCACACCGGGCCGGAGACACGGGCAGGACUCAUACGGGAGGUAGUAGGGGGGAAUAUUGCGCAAUGGGGGCAACCUGACGCAGCCAUGCCGAGUGAAGGAAGAAGGCCUUGGGGUUUUAAAGUUCUUUCGGUGACGAGUCGUUAAUCACAGAAGAAGGACCGGCUAACUCCGUGCCAGCAGCCGCGGUAAUUC